Aegilops tauschii subsp. strangulata is the source of this 2073-nucleotide non-coding RNA. Lineage: Eukaryota; Viridiplantae; Streptophyta; Magnoliopsida; Poales; Poaceae. The record is from RefSeq and is a predicted model, not a curated record.
GUAUUAGGCCGAUAUCCGAUACAGACCAGCGCCCGUCGUUUUUCCCCCACCUCGCCUCUCGCUCAAGACCUAGAUCGAGUUGCGCUGCCAGUAGGCGCCGGCGCUGGUGUCCACGAGGAGGUCAAGCGACGGCGUUCGCGAUGGCGACGUGGUGAGGCGCAGAAGACGGUGGCCUCAACGGGGUUUAGGCGCGCCGACGACGGCGACUCACUCCUGGCCACGAUGGUGAUGGCUACUCGCUCGUGGCCGCGACGGCGACGCUGGUCGGCAAUCGUGACCUAAUCGUGAUGGGAACCGCUCAUCCUCCUCUGCUCCGCCAAGGUUCUAAUGACGCAAAAUAGGGCUAAGUGGACAGCAAGGCAUGAGAAAAGUCUCGUGGAGGUACUUACAGAGUACAAUCUAUCUCAUUACCAUGGCCAAAAUGGGUGGACUACAGAAGGAUGCAAUCAAGUUGUCAAGGAAUUGAACAAUUUAUAUCCAGAGGCAAGUUUUACCAAGGAUCAGGUCCAAGAUAAGGAAGCUCGGUUGAAAAAGCACUACAAAAAUAUCAAGUCCACAAUCAACCGUUCUGGAAUAUCAUGGAAUCAUAUUGCAUCUGUGAUCAACACCAUGCCUGAAAAACGGGAAGAGAUCAUUGCAGAGGACCCAAAGCUCAAAAUGGAUGAAGGAAAGAGCUUUCCAUUUUACGAGGCAUGGGGUGUGCUCUAUGAAGGACACAUUUCUCAAGGAAGACAUUGCCUCACAUCAAGGAAGCCUCUGAUUGUCACAAAAUUAGGUAGCAACUUUGGAGCAAAGGAGAAGAUGGUUGCAAGCACUAGCAAGAAAAAUACAAGACAUGGAAGAGAUGACAACAUAAGGACUUCUUCAAUAAUUGACAUCAAUGAUACUCCUACAUUAGAUGAUGUGGAUGAAAGAGAGAACACUAUCAAUGACGAGGAAGAAUUAGGCAGUGAAGAUGCUGAUGGUGAUCAACCACAAAUAAGUGAAUCAAGUCCUAAGGGGAAAAAACCAAGAAACAAAAAGGUGCCACAUCUGUACAGCGGCUUGAAUAUUCCAUGAUGGCUUAUGUGAAUUUCAAGAAAGGGCAAGCUUCCAAGAAGGAAAAAGUGUCAUAGCAAGGAAAAUAGCCCUCAAUUACAGAAUGCUUAGAGGUCUUGAAUGACAUGGAUGAUGUUCACGAUGAGGUCAAAAUCUUUGCCUCUGAUGUUUUCAAAGAUGCUGCAAACCGUGAGAUUUUUCUGGGUUACAACUCAAGAUUGCGGGGUAUGUGGCUAAAGAAGGAAGUCGACAAGAUUAGUCCUCAGCCUCCUCCUUCGAGUAUUCCUUUGCAGCUCGACUUUCAUCUGGUGGUCUUCCUUCAAUCAAUCUGGUGCUCUGAUCAAAGGAUUGGUUGCCCUCUUUAUUGCAUGAUUGCUUGCCCUGUUUAUUGGGUUCUACACAUGGUCUCAACUUCAGAGUUAUACUGUUGGUGCUGAUGUUUCAAUCCCCCUUUGCAACAUAAUAUUCUAGACAUGUGUAGACUUGUUGCUGCCUGGAACAUUUUUCUUAUUCAAGAUUUUGUUUAUAUUGCUGCCAUGUUGUUUCUUCAUCGGUCUUUCUUGAAAAAUAAUGUAGUUACUUUAAAUUUGAGUGACAUGCUAUGGCUACCUUGAACCAUCUGGCUCCCAUUGGUAAUUCAGGAUUUUGUUCUAAUCUUUUUGACAUACAUGGUUGUUCUCUACAUCCAUGGUUGGUAUCAUUCAUAGAGCACAAAGUGAUCAUUAUAUAGCUAAUGUUUUUUUUCAGGUCGCCCUUUCGCAUGAUUCUGUGAUUACCCGAGUCCAUGAAGCAGUCAUAAUCUUUCAGAAAUAUUUUAUGUCUAGACGCACACCGAUUGAACAAUUGCCGAGUCCUAACUUUGGUUAUGUACCAUGCCAACGAGACGAGACAAGUAUGCCUCAAUAGAAUUGUAAUUUAAAUUGCUGACUUUGAGCACUAUGAGUUAUCGGAACUAUGUUCAACUGGAAGAUUGCAAAAAUAUGAUCUUUUUUACUGAUGUUGUGCUAUUGUAAUAUAAAUGAAAAUUUUAGCUCA